CCCCAGUGGUCUCUGCUCUGACUGGAGGGAGAAAAGUGUGGGGAUGCAUUUUGGGGCUGAAGCUUAUACCCCAGUGCUUCCCUGAGAAGCCCCGAUGCUUGGGAAGGAAGGAAAGGGCAUCAUUCUCCAAGAUACAUUGUAUAUUUUCUGCAUUUCAGUAUCUGUUAGGACUCGAUCUGUCUCAUAUGCCAGGAAUCCCAACGAAACUGCCUUAACCCAAAGGGAGUCGGUGGGUACAAGUAGCGAAGCAGAGUGGGUCCUGGCUGCAGGUGGGCUUCCUGCGUGGGCUCACGUGACGUCACAGAGCUGGUGUCUGCUUGUCUAUUGCUGAUGCAGUUUCCUCGAGAUUGGCCCCUCUCAGACAGGCCCUCCGCCCAGUGCUGUGACAGCGCCAGCCUCACAUCUUCUCAGGCUAGCCCAGCAGGACGGAGGGACGGGCUCUUUCCGAGGAGUCCUGGCCCCGGCGGUGUCGUGUGCCCACAUGGACCAAUCACUGUGGUGACGCCAGUGAGAUGCUCUGAUUGGCUUAGACCCAGAAACAAUCAAAACACAGACAAAAUACGUGAAAUGACAUUUUUAAGACGCUGUACAUCAAGCAAUGAAGGACAGUGAACCCUCUGAGAUAGCAAAUGAACAAUAAUGAAGCCUUCCAUUACCCAGCCUGUCUUCCUUGAUCGUGUUUCCAGGCUACAGUUCAGAGAAGGAGGAACCCAGGCAGAGCUCAGUGGAGUCUCCGAGUUGAGGAGACAGAGCUGAGAGUACAGAAAAAUCCUAGAGGCAGGAGUUCACAAGACAGAAUGCCAGCAAGGAGAGCGCUGCACAGAGAAAAAGAUCAGGAGGCAUGCAGAGGGUGCAGAGGGUCACCACUGAGGGUUCUGCUGAGUACUCGUGAUCACAUGAAAACCUCCCGAGUUUGGGGAAAGAACCAAAAGACUGGGAGUGACUGGAGCUAACCACGGCCUGAGAGCAGUGCCUGUUUCCACUAGCCAGACUGGAGAACCUCAUGAUGCACAGGACAUUGGGUUUAAAUAGGCAGAGAGCCUUGCCUUCAUCGGUGGAGAAUAACUAGAAAUAGACUCAGCAUUGCUAUGGUCUCACCUAGAAAAUCUUAAAAGUCAGACUCAAAAGGAUUAAUCUAUUUCUGAAUAACUUAAUUGCAUCCAGAAUUAAGCUCAAUAAUAUUGAAAGGACUACGGCAACUUUCAAUACCCAACAGCAGGCAUUCAGGGAAGCAGAAGAAUAUAAACCUUAAUGGAGAGGUCAGUCCAUCAAAAUUGACCCAGAACUGGCACCAAUGUUAAAAUUGGCAGACAAGGACAUUAAAAUAUCAAUAUAAUAGCAGUAUUCCAUAUGUUCAAAAAGUUCAAUAGAAGUAUGGGAGUUAUAAAAAUAACAGCAGACAAACUCCUAGAGUUGAAAAACACACAAUGUGUAAGAUAAACAAUAAAUUAUAGGAUUAUUAACAUAUUAUACACUGCAGAAGAACAUACUGGUAAAUUUUAAGAUCUAGUAUUAGAAACUAUCUAAAAUGAAAUAAUGAGGAAAAAGUACAGAAAAAAAACUCCAGAGCAUCAAUAAGCUGUGAGAUCAUGUCAGGAGGUUUAAUAUAUAUGUAAUUGGAAUCACCAAAGGGAGGGGGGCAGAAAAUAGAUUUAAAUAGAUAAUGGCCAAAAUUUUCCAAAUUUGAACAUUAUAAACCCAUAGCUCCAAUGAGCUCAGAGAACCUUAAGUGUAAGAACAUAUGGAGAAAAUUACACCAAAGCACAUACUAACCAGAUUGCUUGAAACCAAUGACUCAGAGAAUGUCUUAAAAGCAGUCAUACAAAAAAGACAAAAGGAAAACACAGACAAAGAGGAGGAGAGAUAAGGGGGACAACAGAUUUCUCAGGAGAAGCAAUGCAAGUGAGAAGCCAUUGGAGCUGCAUUUUGAAAGCACUGAAAGAAAAAAUUGCCAAUCUUGAAUUCUGUACCCAAUGAAAAUAUUACUCAAAAACAGAGGUGAAUAAAGACUUUUUUCAGACUGGAAAAGCAAUUCCAUCAAGUGACAGUAUUACAAUUUGUUCGUCCAUUUUUCUAUUGAUGGGCAUUUAGGUGGUUUUCUGUGUGUUGUCUACUGGACAGCACUGAAACGACCAUCAUACACACAUUACCUUUUGUUCACAUGCAAGUUUUUCUAGAAUACGCAUUCAAAGGGAGAAUUGUUGGGGAACAAGGGACGUGCAUCUUCCAUUUUCGCUAAGGCACAUGCCAAGUGCCUGGAGAGUGUGAG
Molecule: long non-coding RNA, 2269 nt
Filed under: Callithrix jacchus (white-tufted-ear marmoset)
Lineage: Eukaryota; Metazoa; Chordata; Mammalia; Primates; Cebidae
Description: lncRNA (ENSCJAG00000076065.1)
Source: RNAcentral